Molecule: long non-coding RNA, 1134 nt
Organism: Carassius carassius (crucian carp)
Lineage: Eukaryota; Metazoa; Chordata; Actinopteri; Cypriniformes; Cyprinidae
Exons: 3
Source: RefSeq, a predicted model, not a curated record
UUGGCCCCCUCUCCGUGCUCGACAGAGAGAGAGAUUGGGGGAGAUCGCUUUAGCCUGAAGGAGAGACCAGAUAGUGAAAUAAUCUUUAAUCUCUGUCCCUUCCAGGCAUCGGCAACACCUGUUUUCCUUGAUGGCGUCGUACGAGAGGGCAGCGUUCAGCCUUGUUUUAAAGCUGAUUGCCUGACUUAUAAAUAUGAAUGUCUGCUCUGCUCGGCCGCCUCAAAUCCCCGGUGGUCACUCUGUCUGCUCACACGGCAUGUGAUGAAGCAUUCAAACACGGGGACGUAAGUGACAAUGACACUACAAAGCUCAACGAUGAAGCCAGACAGGAUCUCAUUAUGGCACAAGACUGUUAAUAAUAAACUAUCGCAGGUCCCAAAUCCACGACGGUAUUAGGUGAAACAGAUUGCUCGGUCUGAAUUUAAACCCACAGCCCACCUCGAGGAGAGUCAAGUCCAAUGACAAACAUAAUUCUUCAAGGAAGUUUGGAAAUACUCGGCCAGGAAAAGGAGUUUGGAGACGGGGUGUCUCGAAAAGGUCAAGAUUUGCUGUUUGGAAGCCUAGCUCAAACAUAAAUGCUCUGUAAUACCGGUUUGGGUGAUUGCUUUACUCUCUAGACAAUGUCAAUUUUGUGGAAGGAGUUGCAGAUUAAGUCGCCGGCGUGUCAAGGGCCCUCAUGAGGGCCAGUGUCUAGUCUCGGAAACAGGUCCUAAAGCCCAUGCCUAUUACCGCAGCCACCCACAGGACAGAUGUUUAAAGCUUAGGGGUGCAAUGGAGAAUAAUAGCACAUUAGAUUCUUAAUGUCUCUGUUGAUGCCGCGCUCAUGUGGGAGGAAAAUCUCUGGUGGUCCAAACACCUUGCCCCUUUUUUCCUCAUCCCCCUCUUUAUUUUUCUUAGCUCCAUCCAGAUUUGGUUGCUCUAUCUCUCCUCAUGCCACUUGAGCGAUGAAUCCUACCCCGGAGCAAGGCGCCACACACAAUUCAUCAAGAUAUGACCCACUCGGAGGAUGCACUGGGCUAAUGAACUCAUUAAAAUGUGUGCGCGUGUCGGCACGUGUGGGAGGAUGUGGAUGUUUGCGCGAGCGCGCGUCUGCCUUGUGGGUUUAAUGUAUAUGUUUGUGUAAAAGGGAAAGAG